GUGUCAGCAGCCGCGGUAAGACGAACCGUGCGAACGUUGUUCGGAAUCACUGGGCUUAAAGGGCGCGUAGGCGGUCUGCCAAGUCGGGGUUGAAAUCUUUCGGCUCAACCGGAAAAGUGGCUUCGAUACUGGCAGGCUGGAGGGAGGUAGGGGCGGAUGGAACUUCCGGUGGAGCGGUGAAAUGUGUUGAUAUCGGAAGGAACGCCGGUGGCGAAAGCGAUCCGCUGGACCUCUUCUGACGCUGAGGCGCGAAAGCCAGGGGAGCAAACGGGAUUAGAUACCCCGGUAGUCCUGGCCCUAAACGAUGGGUACUGAGUAGUGGACUUGCAUGGGUUCACUGCUGAAGCAAAAGUGGUAAGUACCCCGCCUGGGGAGUAUGGUCGCAAGGCUGAA
RNAcentral lists this ribosomal RNA (393 nucleotides) under uncultured bacterium. RNAcentral describes it as "bacterial SSU rRNA". It matches the Rfam family "Bacterial small subunit ribosomal RNA", at positions 505 to 898 of the family's 1533-position model. The record is from RNAcentral.